This is a long non-coding RNA of Felis catus (domestic cat), 1250 nucleotides long. RefSeq lists it as uncharacterized. The transcript has 2 exons. The record is from RefSeq and is a predicted model, not a curated record. NCBI's taxonomy places the organism in Eukaryota, Metazoa, Chordata, Mammalia, Carnivora, Felidae.
UCUGAGAGUUUCACAGAUUCCCCAGGUGACAGCAAUGUAUGAUUCAGGGAGCAUUCUUUGAGAAACUCUGAACCUUAGUAAAAGAAGAAAUGGGCACUAACGAAAAAGCAAAAACACACAGGUGAGCAUUGUGGCUGCAUGCUCAGCCUGAGAAGCAUUAAUAUCAAAACAGAAACUGGAUUUACAGAAGUCAGUGGAACGUGGCAUUUAAAUCGCACAGCCACGAAAUGCUCCCCGUGGCUGAAUGCUAUGAACCUGCUAAUGAGGCUGCUUAAACCCAGGAGGCAACAUUCGUGUUGAAGGGCCGGGAGAGGACGGGCCAGGGGACGGCCCAGCUCAGCCAUCCGUCAGGUGGCCGGUUUUCCUGUCGUAGUAACAGUUGCUGAGGGUUCAGACACUGUAGCUGCUCAGGAGUCGCCCUCCCCCGGGGCCUCCAGUGCACACAGACGGCAGCGACCAUCUCGGACAGCCCCCCCCCCCCAACUUGGAGGUCAAACCCCUGCACAUCUUCAGACCUUUCCUGGCAGGAGUGGGUCUCCCUACGGGGCAAACCGCAUGGAGAGAAGGGCAGGUGAGGAGACAGCGAGAGACCCGGAAGAUUUCAUGCAGCUGCAAUGAUACUCUCCUCAUCUCAAUAACCGGACACGGCACCUCUCCUCUUGUGAGGAGGAGCCCAGAGAGAAAUACUUCUGGGGGACGAGAAGAGCUUAUGCUAUGGGCCACCAGGAAUUCAGGGAGAGGAAGAAAAUGUUUUUCCCACGGAGCCUAUGAUCCACGAGGCCAAGUGGGAAAGACUCGCUCUCUGCUCCGUAUCUCUUUACCCGGUUGGUCAGGACUGAACCUGCUCUUGCUCCUUUUAGUUGAGAUAAAAGCUUUCAUCGGAGUCAUUUCACUUACGUUGGCUUCUCCUGAGGUAGCCGUGCUAGCCUGCGAAAGUGCCCAAACGUAGCUAUGGCCGCACAUCAGCUGCCGCGUAGCCUAGGUUUAAAUGGAGAUGCUUGAGACCAUGCGCACCCACACGCACAAACAUAGGUAUUAUAUAUACAAUAUAUAACCUCAAAGUCUGGACUGCUUUCGACACGGCACCCCCACCCCCAUCCCCUUACCUACACAAAGAAGAGGUCGUGUAAAGACACAAGGAGCAGCUGGCUUCCAGGAAGAGGGUCCUCAUCAGAAGCCAACCACGGUGUCACCUUGAUCUUGGACUUCUCGCCUCCAGAGCUGUAAGGAAAUAAAAUUCUGUUGUUGAG